UUCUUCCUAUUUGGCAAAUUUUACAAGCCUACAAUGGCAGAUUAUGUUGAAUAUCGACAAGACUCGAGCCAGGGGUAGUUUCUUCUUCAUUCCUUUCUCUCCUGGCAGUGCUAAGCCACGAAUAAGGAUCAGGACUUUCGUGCAUUUUGACGAACAUCACGUGAAUGCAUGCCUGUAAAGAGUGUAAGGAUAAUGGCAACUUUUGCAGGUUUUCUUUCCAUUAGACUCGCGGCUCUCCUCCUCAAGGCUCGGCCCCGCCCCUCCAGCCUCUGCCGGAUUCGACGCUGCCGACCUUGCUUAUCUGUUAUUCUCUUCCGAAUAUCACCUGCUAUAUUCAAAAUAUGGACACAAUGAGAAAAAUCGAAUUAUGUCUUGGCAUUUUCGAUGAUCCGGAGAGACGAGAAGUCGCCAUUUCCAUAAUGUGCUAUGAUGUAUAGUACAAAUGACAGAUAAAUUUCUUAAUCAGCCAGUUGGAUCACAAAUGCCUUUGGAAAUAGUCAACAAUCCUAGUUUCUUUCUAUUUUUUAAGGAUUGUGUUGGUGCAAUUGAUGGAACACAUAUACGUAUGAAAGUGUCAAGAAUUGAUGUUCCAAAGUUUCGUGGAAGAAAAGAUUUCUCCAUACAAAAUGUAUUGACAGCUUGUAAAUUCGAUUUGAAAUUUUCAUACAUCCUAGCUGGGUGGGAGGGGAGCGCAUCAGAUUCAAUGAUAAUAAUUAAUGCAUUAAAUAGACUUGAGGAUCCUUUAGUAAUUUUCGAAGGGUGGAUUAAUUACUCAAGGGGGAAUAUUACCAUUUGAAUGAAUACUCAAGGAAUCCACUACGCAAUGCUCGUGAGCUAUUUAAUUUUCGUCAUUCUUCUUUAUGUAAUGCGAUUGAACGUGCCGUUGGAGUUCUUAAAAAACAUUUUCCAAUUAUUUCAAGCUCUAAUGAACUUUAUUAUUGGGUGAAAACUGUUAAUUAUAUUAUAUUUGUUUGUUGCAUUUUGUACAACUAUUUAUGGGAAGAGGAUCCAAAUGAUGAAUUUCUUGUAGAGGUUGAUGAAGAACUUCUAAACGUUUCUCGUGAGGAACGAAAUCCAUAUAAUCAUAGGGACAGUAUCAAGAAAACAAGAA
This is a long non-coding RNA of Carica papaya (papaya), 1111 nucleotides long. RefSeq lists it as uncharacterized. Lineage: Eukaryota; Viridiplantae; Streptophyta; Magnoliopsida; Brassicales; Caricaceae. The record is from RefSeq and is a predicted model, not a curated record.